AAAAGCAUGUUCGGCGAGUUC
Molecule: microRNA, 21 nt
Filed under: Ananas comosus (pineapple)
Lineage: Eukaryota; Viridiplantae; Streptophyta; Magnoliopsida; Poales; Bromeliaceae
Description: microRNA s1538_c087b
Source: RNAcentral